This 207-nucleotide long non-coding RNA is filed under the name Oncorhynchus mykiss (rainbow trout). RNAcentral describes it as "lncRNA (ENSOMYG00000067964.1)". The record is from RNAcentral. Lineage: Eukaryota; Metazoa; Chordata; Actinopteri; Salmoniformes; Salmonidae.
GAGAGAGAGUCAGUAAUUAUCUAUUUAGAUUAGAACCCAGAGUCAGUAAUUAUCUAUUUAGAUUAGAACCCAGAGAGAGAGUCAGUAAUUAUCUAUUUAGAUUGGAACCCAGAGAGAGAGUCAGUAAUUAUCUAUUUAGAUUAGAACCCAGAGAGAGAGUCAGUAAUUAUCUAUUUAGAUUAGAACCCAGAGAGAGUCAGUAAUUGU